GUUACUUCAGCUGCACAUAUACUAAAAUUGGAACAAAAUAGAGUAGAUUAGCAUGGCCCCUGUGCAAGCAUGACAUGCAAAUUCAUGAAACAUUCUAUAAUUAA
Callithrix jacchus (white-tufted-ear marmoset) is the source of this 104-nucleotide small nuclear RNA. The record is from Ensembl. NCBI's taxonomy places the organism in Eukaryota, Metazoa, Chordata, Mammalia, Primates, Cebidae.